This 571-nucleotide ribosomal RNA is filed under the name [Emmonsia] sp. JBS-2016c. Its description in RNAcentral is "eukaryotic LSU rRNA". It matches the Rfam family "Eukaryotic large subunit ribosomal RNA", at positions 85 to 669 of the family's 3401-position model. Lineage: Eukaryota; Fungi; Ascomycota; Eurotiomycetes; Onygenales; Ajellomycetaceae. The record is from RNAcentral.
AACGGCGAGUGAAGCGGCAAAAGCUCAAAUUUGAAAUCUGGCUCCUUCGGCGCCCGAGUUGUAAUUUGCAGAGGAUGCUUCGGGCGUGGCCGCGGUCUAAGUCCCCUGGAACGGGGCGUCGCAGAGGGUGAGAAUCCCGUCUUCGGCCGGCCGGCUUCGCCCAUGUGAAGCUCCUUCGACGAGUCGAGUUGUUUGGGAAUGCAGCUCUAAAUGGGUGGUAAAUUUCAUCUAAAGCUAAAUAUUGGUCGGAGACCGAUAGCGCACAAGUAGAGUGAUCGAAAGAUGAAAAGCACUUUGAAAAGAGAGUUAAACAGCAUGUGAAAUUGUUGAAAGGGAAGCGUUUGCGACCAGAGUCGGCCGCGGGGGUUCAGCGGGCAUUCGUUGCCCGUGCACUCCCCCGCGGGCGGGCCAGCGUCGGUUUCGACGGCCGGUCAAAGGCCCCCGGAAUGUGUCGCCUCUCGGGGCGUCUUAUAGCCGGGGGUGCAAUGCGGCCAGUCGGGACCGAGGAACGCGCUUCGGCACGGACGCUGGCUUAAUGGUCGUAAGCGACCCGUCUUGAAACACGGACCAA